RNAcentral lists this ribosomal RNA (447 nucleotides) under uncultured bacterium. RNAcentral describes it as "partial 16S ribosomal RNA". It matches the Rfam family "Bacterial small subunit ribosomal RNA", at positions 329 to 793 of the family's 1533-position model. The record is from RNAcentral.
CCCCAGACUCCUACGGGAGGCAGCAGUGGGGAAUAUUGCACAAUGGGGGGAACCCUGAUGCAGCGACGCCGCGUGGGUGAAGGAGCACCUCGGUGCGUAAAGCCCUAUCGGCAGGGAAGAAACAGACGGUACCUGACUAAGAAGCCCCGGCUAACUACGUGCCAGCAGCCGCGGGAAUACGUAGGGGGCAAGCGUUAUCCGGAUUUACUGGGUGUAAAGGGAGCGUAGACGGCGAUGCAAGUCUGAAGUGAAAGGCGGGGGCUCAACCCCCGGACUGCUUUGGAAACUGUUUGACUGGAGUGCAGGAGAGGUAAGUGGAAUUCCUAGUGUAGCGGUGAAAUGCGUAGAUAUUAGGAGGAACACCAGUGGCGAAGGCGGCCUGCUGGACUGCAACUGACGUUGAGGCCCGAAAGCGUGGGGAGCAAACAGGAUUAGAUACCCGUGUAU